Molecule: non-coding RNA, 782 nt
Organism: Dermatophagoides farinae (American house dust mite)
Lineage: Eukaryota; Metazoa; Arthropoda; Arachnida; Sarcoptiformes; Pyroglyphidae
Source: RefSeq, a predicted model, not a curated record
UUUUUUUGGUUCUUAUUGUAUAAAAUGCUUGUUAUCCAUCGAUCCAUCCAUCAAAAAUGAUAGUCAUUUUCAGGUAUUUUUCUUGGGUAAAAACCAUAAAAAACAACGACUAUAAUGAUUUCGUUGACGGAUUCUCUUGAUAUUCUUUACUCAUCAUUUUCAAAAACGGUGCCACCAUAUGACCGUUAUCAUUAAGAUUGGCAAUUAUUGCUCGCUAUUUUUUUCAUUUGAUGAUGAUGAUGAUGGAGAAUUUCACUCUCACCAAAUAAUAAUACUGACUAUGGUAAAAAACAAUGCAAACCAAAAUCAGAAUUCAAAUCGAAAUCGAAUCGACCAACGAAACGAAAUGAAAAAAAAAUAAGCUCUUGCUUUCAUCAUUUGCAAUGGGUUGGGAUACCUGAACUGGUGGGCGGUUGUUUCCCAUCCAUAUACACACACCGUAUCAUUGAUGAUGAUGAUGAUGACGAUGAUGCGAUGCAAUAGUUAGCAUUCUAUUUUUUUGGGUUAUAUUUCGAUAGUCGCAUCGUCGCUGAUGUUAACUAUCGUUGAAUUAUUAUUGUUCUUGGUUAGAAUAUUGUGGUUGGUGUGUGUGUGUGUGUGUGUGCGCCAACCUAGCCGAAAUGUCGAAUCUAACCAGAUGCAGAAACAACGGCGCGCGCCAAACACAUCACAAUCAUAUAAUAUACAUUCAGCCAUCCAUCCUAUCCAAAAAAAAAGGUAAAAAGCAAAUGUUGGAACCCGAGGAGGCCAAUAAAACCAAAAAAAAAAAAAAAAAAAACGAA